Non-coding RNA from Acanthosepion pharaonis, 115 nucleotides. The record is from the annotation of a GenBank genome assembly. NCBI's taxonomy places the organism in Eukaryota, Metazoa, Mollusca, Cephalopoda, Sepiida, Sepiidae.
UUACGGUCACAUCAUGUUGAAUGUCCGGUUCCCGUACCAUCACCGAGGUUAAGCAACGUCGAGCCUGGUCAGUACCUAGAUGGGUGACCGCUUGUAUAAUACUAGGUGCUGUAAG